RNAcentral lists this ribosomal RNA (433 nucleotides) under uncultured bacterium. RNAcentral describes it as "partial 16S ribosomal RNA". It matches the Rfam family "Bacterial small subunit ribosomal RNA", at positions 29 to 507 of the family's 1533-position model. The record is from RNAcentral.
AACGAACGCUGGCGGCAUGCCUAACACAUGCAAGUCGAACGAGACCUUCGGGUCUAGUGGCGGUGGGGUGCGUAACGAGGGGGAAGUUGCACUUAGGUUCGGAAUAAUUCACCGUAAGGGGUGCUAAUAACGGUUAAUGUCUUAGGACAAAAGAUUUAUCGCGUUGGGAUGGGCCCGCGUUGGUUUAGCUGGUUGGUAGGGUAAAAGCAUCUCAAGGCGACGUUCCAGAGCUGGUCUGAGAGGAUGAUCAACCCGACUGGGACUACGACACGGCCCAGACUCCGACGCAAGGGAGCAGUGUGGAGUAUUAUACAAUGGACGAAGACCUGGUCCAGCAAUGCCGCGGAAGUGGUGAAGGCCUUAGUGUUGUAAAGCUCUUUUACCCGAGAUGAUAGUGACGGUACCGGGAGAAUAAGCACCGGCUAACUCCGUG